Long non-coding RNA from Lineus longissimus, 2194 nucleotides. RefSeq lists it as uncharacterized. Lineage: Eukaryota; Metazoa; Nemertea; Pilidiophora; Heteronemertea; Lineidae. The record is from RefSeq and is a predicted model, not a curated record. The transcript has 4 exons.
ACAUAAAAACACACCAGAAGAUCUCCGAUUUUAUUUACAAAGAUCAUAUUUUGUUAUUUAUUGAUAAAACAAGCCAUUUUACCACAGCAGGUGACACAUAUUAGGCCUGAAUAAGACUUUAGAAUUUGAAGUGGUGGUGACGAUGCCGAUAUCCAAGAUGGCGGAAUUAUACCAGUGGUCAAAUCUCAUCUAGUUUGGGUAAUUGCAUCAUUAUUUCUUUUUGUGAUUGGUGAUUUGUAAAAUUGAGAAUGAUUGAAAAAUCAGUAUUUUUUCACCCAAAGGCAUGAGUGAACAUUUGAUAAGUUUAUUGUGAUUUAAUUGGUAAUUUGGUCGACAUUUUGACAAUUAUAUUUAGCAAUAUUUCGAUAAAUGCGGACCUGCUUCUUCCUCUUUUCGCAGUAACGGUGUUUCGAUAACUCAGGUCAGUUUCACGGCAAAAAUAAGUGGUAGUUUUGAAAUUCGAAUGUGCAUUUAUUAAUGUAACGAUAAAGUACAUUUCCGAGAAUAAUUAGUGAAAGUUUCAUUAGACUUCGAGAUCUACAUUUUCGACAAAGGCCUGGUGUAAUAUUACAUACUUGAUGAAGGUAUGACACGAAUGAGUACAAGUACAUUACAUUUUUCGACGAAGGCCUUCUGUAAUUUCAUACACUUCUUACGCAACAUUCAAUAGAUUUAUUUACUGUAUUAUCAUUUCGACCAAGGCGAAUUCGACACUUCAGUUACACAAGGUUAGUAACUUUUGUUCACAAAAUCCAAAUGGAGGCAAAUACAGAACAAUCAAACUUAGUCAUUCCAGUCAGUUACUGAAGCACAGUGAAAACUGUCGGGAGCAAUGCAACUGAUGGCAUGUCAAACUUCCAGUGACUGUCCCUGUCCAUAUAUUUCAAGACAGUACAAAUCUUGUAAUCAUUUUGUUUAUGCAAUGUACGUUAUUAUGUAUCAUUUCAGCACAAUCAAACUUAGUCAUUCCAGUCGGUUACUGAAGCACAGCGAAAACUGUCUGAAUUAGUGCUGCUGAUGGCAUGUAAUUACUCUACUACCACUACCAGUGACAGUCAAUGUCCAUAUAUUUUCAAGUGUGCGAAAUUAGUACUCGUCUACUUCUUAGUGUUAUUUGAAUGCAAUGUAUGUCAUAAAAAUAUUUUUUCAACACUAUAUCAACAUUCUCAUUCCUGUCAGUUUCUGAAAAUCAGCUAAAGCAAUCGCUACCAAUGCAGCUGAUAACAGCAAUUCUUUUUGUUCCCAAUGCCCAUCCAUGACAAUAUAUUUCACGCAUGUGACAAUCAUGUAAUCAUCCUGUUUUUUGUGUUCUAUUCAUGCAAUAAAUAAAUUCAGUAUUUUCAAAUCAUUGGUGCUACAAAACUAUUCUCAUUAUAUAUUAUUCAUAUUUUAUAAAAUGCUGUCAUGUCAAAUUUUGUGUCCUAUAAAUCAUUAUGAAGUCGGCAUUUUAUAUACAACUUUUGUACUCCUCCUAAAUAAACAUACAAAUCUUGUUUUAUGUAAACUUUGUAUAUGUGACCCGUCACAGCAAAACCAGGCGCAUGUCGCUCUGAGCUUGGCAGGUUGAGACGGACUGUUCUAAUCUUUCAUUAGCGACACCAUUUCUUACCCGAGUGCCUCCUUCAUUCAUACAUCUUGUACUUUAACUCAAGAUACCCAUCUUUGAAUAUUUUUAGUAUACCAAGUACUACAAUGUCAAUGUAUUGAAGUCAUGUUCUUGUAGUGUUAUUGGCUUUCUAUUAUCUUGUCAAAAUACCACUUGGUUCUCGCAAAAUCUCAAUAAAAACAAAUGCUAUUGCAUGUAUUGCAUAUUCUAACAGCUAUCCACUGUAUCGAUUUAUCCAUCAUCUGUACUAUUUGUCACAAAAAUGUUAUAUUAUGUAAAUCAUAUUUCAUUACAUAAUGCACACUGCCAAUUACUGCUGAACCAUUCAUAAUCAUAUGUCAUUUAAAUAAAUAAUUUUCAACUUUUUAAAACCGUCUUAUAGUACUGUUCUUGUCACUUAGCUGAACCAAUUGCUCUAUAGCAUGAAAUUUCCAGAAAUGCCCCAGGGACUGAAAAGUGCUGUUUUAACAGAGAGGUGUCCUAAACUGAGAAGUCGAGUUGAAUGGAAACAACCAAUUUGGAACCAAAAACUACUGUCCUUAUUAAAGAGGUUGUCCUCAAUAGAAAGGUGUCCACAAAAAGUAGGUC